RNAcentral lists this transfer RNA (69 nucleotides) under Panesthia sloanei. RNAcentral's name for it is "tRNA-Val". Lineage: Eukaryota; Metazoa; Arthropoda; Insecta; Blattodea; Blaberidae. The record is from RNAcentral.
CAGAUUAAACUUUGAGAUAGAAUUUUCAUUUACACUGGAGAUAUUGUUGUGCAAUUCGGCAUAAUCUGA